GAUGAAGAACGUAGCGAAAUGCGAUAAGUAGUGUGAAUUGCAGAAUUCAGUGAAUCAUCGAAUCUUUGAACGCACAUUGCGCCCCUUGGUAUUCCAUGGGGCAUGCCUGUUCGAGCGUCAUUUGUACCUUCAAGCUUUGCUUGGUGUUGGGUGUUUGUCUCGCCUUUGCGUGUAGACUCGCCUUAAAAUAAUUGGCAGCCGGCGUAUUGAUUUCGGAGCGCAGUACAUCUCGCGCUUUGCACUCAUAACGACAGCGUCCAAAAGUACAUUUUACACUCUUGACCUCGGAUCAGGUAGGGAUACCCGCUGAAAUUAAGCAUAUCAAUAAGCGGAGGA
This 336-nucleotide unclassified non-coding RNA is filed under the name soil metagenome. RNAcentral's name for it is "partial contains 5.8S ribosomal RNA, internal transcribed spacer 2, and large subunit ribosomal RNA". The stretch from base 1 to 120 matches the Rfam family "5.8S ribosomal RNA", at positions 35 to 154 of the family's 154-position model. The record is from RNAcentral.